UUCGGAACCAGAGACCGGCGCACGGGUGCGUAACGCGUAUGCAAUCUACCUUUCACAGAGGGAUAGCCCAGAGAAAUUUGGAUUAAUACCUCAUAGUAUAAUGACUCGGCAUCGAGAUAUUAUUAAAGUCACAACGGUGAAAGAUGAGCAUGCGUCCCAUUAGCUUGUUGGUAAGGUAACGGCUUACCAAGGCAACGAUGGGUAGGGGUCCUGAGAGGGAGAUCCCCCACACUGGUACUGAGACACGGACCAGACUCCUACGGGAGGCAGCAGUGAGGAAUAUUGGACAAUGGGCGCAAGCCUGAUCCAGCCAUGCCGCGUGCAGGAUGACGGUCCUAUGGAUUGUAAACUGCUUUUAUACAGGAAGAAACACUCGGACGUGUCCGAGCUUGACGGUACUGUAGGAAUAAGGAUCGGCUAACUCCGUGCCAGCAGCCGCGGUAAUACGGAGGAUCCAAGCGUUAUCCGGAAUCAUUGGGUUUAAAGGGUCCGUAGGCGGUCUAGUAAGUCAGUGGUGAAAGCCCAUCGCUCAACGGUGGAACGGCCAUUGAUACUGCUAGACUUGAAUUAUUAGGAAGUAACUAGAAUAUGUAGUGUAGCGGUGAAAUGCUUAGAGAUUACAUGGAAUACCAAUUGCGAAGGCAGGUUACUACUAAUAUAUUGACGCUGAUGGACGAAAGCGUGGGUAGCGAACAGGAUUAGAUACCCUGGUAGUCCACGCCGUAAACGAUGGAUACUAGCUGUUGGGAGCAAUCUCAGUGGCUAAGCGAAAGUGAUAAGUAUCCCACCUGGGGGAGUACGUUCGCAAGAAUGAAACUCAAAGGAAUUGACGGGGGCCCGCACAAGCGGUGG
This 852-nucleotide ribosomal RNA is filed under the name Flavobacterium glaciei. RNAcentral's name for it is "bacterial SSU rRNA". It matches the Rfam family "Bacterial small subunit ribosomal RNA", at positions 81 to 935 of the family's 1533-position model. The record is from RNAcentral. Lineage: Bacteria; Pseudomonadati; Bacteroidota; Flavobacteriia; Flavobacteriales; Flavobacteriaceae.